CGCUUUAUAGCUGACUCACUGUCUGUCUUGUUUUCUUCUUUCCUUUCCCUCAGCUUGAGGUGCAUUCUGAGGAUUUGGUGUGUGUGCUCUCGCAUGUGCUGCAGGAAGAGCAUGGUCGUCUGAAGUCAGGACUCGCCUGCCGUUGGUUCUUAGGAUCCAGCUCUGCUCGCCGGUCAGCUCUGCUCGCCGGUCAGCUCUGCUCGCCGGUCAGGCUCCGCAGCAGCGCCCUUCCCGGCUGAGUCACCUCUUCCUUCCUCUACUGUCAAUUCUUGGUAGAGCAGAGUCUGGUACACAGUUGUGUCUUCUUCAACAGUUAUUUUAUUUAUGAGUUAAUCUACGUUUUCCCUCUGUUUUAGACUUUGGUUUCUCCUUGGUAUUCUAUUCUGAGUGGGUGGGGAGAAGGGAAGUGUGUUUGUUUUGUAUCGAGACGUGGUUUCGCAUAGCUCAGGCUAGCCUGGAACUCAUUACAUUGCUAAGGAUGCCCUGGAUUCCACUCCUCCUGGUUCCAGUUUCCAAGUGCUAGGAUUAUGAGUGUUUUCUACCAGGCUAGCUAGCAAAAUAUUUUUAUUGUUCAAAUGAAACGCAAUGAACAUAGUAUUAGGGACUAGGAACAAGGACUCUGGAUCUAAAUCGCUUGGGUUAAAGAAGGGCUCUGCCGCCCACGGGGAAGUUCCCCUUAACCUCCGUGUACUUAGGACAGUGAUGGCUCCUGUCUGAGAGCUGGCACAAGGAAGGAAAGACUUGCCGCAGGAGUCAGAUGUCCAGAAAGAUGCCCGGCACACAGGCAAUGUUGGGACGCACUUUAACAAUACCAAAUCUUUAAAGGCCUUUAUUUCUACACUGUAUUAUUUCUGGAGAUUUUUUCUUUCUUCCUACUUCCUCCAGGCUGUUCUUCUUGAAGGUCCCACCCACCCAGAGCCUCCAACUUCCAUCCACUUGUCCAACCACCGAACUAAGGCUUCUAAGGGCAUCCCCCACCAGCAAGCUGCGUUCCCAGUCCAGAAGAGCCAGUCCUUCAGUUACACCCUUUGGCUUCCAGUCCUCCGAGGGUCGGACACUUACCUGCAAAGUACAUCCGAACACUCCGAUCAUCAGCAUGGCCACCGAGAGGUAAUCCGUGAACACAUCCCACCAUGGCUUCAGCACCCGGAAGGCAGGCUGCUGCUCGGAGAACUGCCGGAACUCCGUCACAGGAAUCAUGGUUCUGAGAGAGGAGAGAACACUGGAGCAGGACCUUCUGGAGCCAAAGGGCUCCCAAGAUGCACAGUGCUCCUGACCCAGUGAGGGACCACCAACGGGAGAACUGAAGAGAGUUGCAGACAGCUGAGUUAUCGUCUGGUAACCAAGCUCCCUCUGUGCUCCUUGGACUUAGACAAAGCCAGGUAUUC
Myodes glareolus (Bank vole) is the source of this 1388-nucleotide non-coding RNA. Lineage: Eukaryota; Metazoa; Chordata; Mammalia; Rodentia; Cricetidae. The record is from RefSeq and is a predicted model, not a curated record.